CUUGUGUUUUCCCUCCUGGUCAUUUCACGGAUCACUGAGUGAUCGGUCACACCGUGUCUACAGUACGACCCUUGCAGUGACUAAGAUCAGAUGAUUAUCUGAGACAUUCACUUGAAGGCCUAAGAGGAAAUCAGGUGGAAUGGCUUUUCUCUCACAUCACUCAAUGCCAGUCCACAGAGCAGGAGGUACCCCUUUCACACUUGGGUGGAGUGAGGAAAUUCAUGUAAAGUGCCUUUCCCAAGGACACAACGUCAGCCCUGAUGUGGCAAGGAUUUGAACCCACAACCUUUCGGUCGAGAUUCUGACAGCCUAAACACUAGGCCACCAUGUUAAUUGGCUUGUAAUGUAUAUAAAUGCACAUUUACCAGUACAUUUAAUAUAUAAUAUGUAUAAUUUUGCACAAAUAACAAUGCCAACAUAGACUCUUGGUCCUAUAUUAAGGACCCCAUUGAUUUAAAUGCUAUUUUAUUUUUCCAGCUGCAGACAACCAAAGUGUUUGCUGUAGGGGACUACAAUAAAACAUAUGUGAAACUUUCUGAUUUUGACCUCUAAAAGUUCUUGAUCUCUUGAAGCAAAUUUACUCUCAUUUUUUCAAAUUCCUGAUUUCUUGAAACUCACAAUCUUUGGAAGUAAAAUGCAUGUCCAAUUGUAUAUAAUCCUUACAAAUUUACUUGAUGUACCUUGAAUUGCAAAUUGUUUUUACACAAGCCAUCGGUCACUGACUUAUAAACAUAAGGACAAAACCUGAGAGAUUGACUGUUAUUAUUAAAAAAAAUCACCUAGUGCAACCUACAUACAAAUGAUUUUUUGUUUGGCAUCCAAAUCCCCAGAUCAACUAGAUUAUUAAAGACCAAAAAAAACACCAUAUGGUUGCUCCACGGAUCACUGAAUGUGGGCGGAGCUUAUCCAUGGUCAAUGUUAUUUACCUGGAAUUUACCUGGCCAAGAGAUCAGUUGUUGUGUAUAUUUUUAUGAUAUACACAGGAAAUUUCUCAGGUUAUUACAAAUUAUGCUUAGUGUCUUGAUUUGUGCAAAAAAAAAAAAAUAAUUAAAAUUUCUACCUACAUGCAUACCGCAUUUCUAUUUCCCGUAAACCUUCAA
Molecule: long non-coding RNA, 1100 nt
Organism: Ostrea edulis (European flat oyster)
Lineage: Eukaryota; Metazoa; Mollusca; Bivalvia; Ostreida; Ostreidae
Exons: 3
Source: RefSeq, a predicted model, not a curated record